This 64-nucleotide transfer RNA is filed under the name Aconurella montana. RNAcentral describes it as "tRNA-Leu". The record is from RNAcentral. Lineage: Eukaryota; Metazoa; Arthropoda; Insecta; Hemiptera; Cicadellidae.
AUCAGUAUGGCAGAUUAGUGCAAUGAACUUAAGAUUCAUAUAUAAAUUUAUUAUUUUACUGAAA